This 484-nucleotide ribosomal RNA is filed under the name uncultured bacterium. RNAcentral describes it as "partial 16S ribosomal RNA". It matches the Rfam family "Bacterial small subunit ribosomal RNA", at positions 30 to 507 of the family's 1533-position model. The record is from RNAcentral.
AUUGAACGCUGGCGGCAGGCCUAACACAUGCAAGUCGAGCGGAUGAAGGGAGCUUGCUCCUGGAUUCAGCGGCGGACGGGUGAGUAAUGCCUAGGAAUCUGCCUGGUAGUGGGGGAUAACGUCCUGAAACGGGCGCUAAUACCGCAUACUUCCUGGUGGAGAAAGUGGGGGAUCUUCGGACCUCACGCUAUCAGAUGAGCCUAGGUCGGAUUAGCUAGUUGGUGGGGUAAAGGCCUACCAAGGCGACGAUCCGUAACUGGUCUGAGAGGAUGAUCAGUCACACUGGAACUGAGACACGGUCCAGACUCCUACGGGAGGCAGCAGUGGGGAAUAUUGGACAAUGGGCGAAAGCCUGAUCCAGCCAUGCCGCGUGUGUGAAGAAGGUCUUCGGAUUGUAAAGCACUUUAAGUUGGGAGGAAGGGCAGUAAGUUAAUACCUUGCUGUUUUGACGUUACCAACAGAAUAAGCACCGGCUAACUUCGUG